Antechinus flavipes (yellow-footed antechinus) is the source of this 105-nucleotide small nuclear RNA. The record is from RefSeq and is a predicted model, not a curated record. NCBI's taxonomy places the organism in Eukaryota, Metazoa, Chordata, Mammalia, Dasyuromorphia, Dasyuridae.
AUGCUUCAGUAGCACAUAUACUAAAAUUGGAACAAUACAGAGAAAAUUAGCAUGGCUCCUGGGCAAGAAUGACAUGCAAAUUCAUGAAGAAAUUUACUAACAAUU